CGGUAAUACGUAGGGUGCGAGCGUUAAUCGGAAUUACUGGGCGUAAAGCGUGCGCAGGCGGUUUUGUAAGACAGGCGUGAAAUCCCCGGGCUCAACCUGGGAAUUGCGCUUGUGACUGCAAGGCUAGAGUACGUCAGAGGGGGGUAGAAUUCCACGUGUAGCAGUGAAAUGCGUAGAGAUGUGGAGGAAUACCGAUGGCGAAGGCAGCCCCCUGGGACGUGACUGACGCUCAUGCACGAAAGCGUGGGGAGCAAACAGGAUUA
This 263-nucleotide ribosomal RNA is filed under the name Cupriavidus plantarum. Its description in RNAcentral is "partial 16S ribosomal RNA". It matches the Rfam family "Bacterial small subunit ribosomal RNA", at positions 518 to 780 of the family's 1533-position model. The record is from RNAcentral. Lineage: Bacteria; Pseudomonadati; Pseudomonadota; Betaproteobacteria; Burkholderiales; Burkholderiaceae.